This 460-nucleotide ribosomal RNA is filed under the name uncultured bacterium. Its description in RNAcentral is "partial 16S ribosomal RNA". It matches the Rfam family "Bacterial small subunit ribosomal RNA", at positions 338 to 795 of the family's 1533-position model. The record is from RNAcentral.
CCUACGGGAGGCAGCAGUGAGGAAUAUUGGUCAAUGGACGAGAGUCUGAACCAGCCAAGUAGCGUGAAGGAUGACUGCCCUAUGGGUUGUAAACUUCUUUUAUAUGGGAAUAAAAUGUUCCACGUGUGGGAUUUUGUAUGUACCAUAUGAAUAAGGAUCGGCUAACUCCGUGCCAGCAGCCGCGGUAAUACGGAGGAUCCGAGCGUUAUCCGGAUUUAUUGGGUUUAAAGGGAGCGUAGGUGGUUUGUUAAGUCAGUUGUGAAAGUUUGCGGCUCAACCGUAAAAUUGCAGUUGAAACUGGCAGUCUUGAGUACAGUAGAGGUGAGCGGAAUUCGUGGUGUAGCGGUGAAAUGCUUAGAUAUCACGAAGAACUCCGAUUGCGAAGGCAGUUCACUGGACUGCAACUGACACUGAGGCUCGAAAGUGUGGGUAUCAAACAGGAUUAGAUACCCGAGUAGUC